This 22-nucleotide unclassified non-coding RNA is filed under the name Mus musculus (house mouse). Its description in RNAcentral is "oocyte_clustered_small_RNA10465". Lineage: Eukaryota; Metazoa; Chordata; Mammalia; Rodentia; Muridae. The record is from RNAcentral.
GAACUUCCACAGAAUUACACAC